This 789-nucleotide ribosomal RNA is filed under the name Hamiltonaphis styraci yeast-like symbiont. Its description in RNAcentral is "partial small subunit ribosomal RNA". The stretch from base 274 to 789 matches the Rfam family "Eukaryotic small subunit ribosomal RNA", at positions 1178 to 1567 of the family's 1831-position model. The record is from RNAcentral. Lineage: Eukaryota; Fungi; Ascomycota.
GGGCCUGGAAAAAGUGCUCACGGCGCCAGAGGCGCCUUUUCGCUAGUGUCAAGCUUCAUCCGCGUGGGGUAGCCCCCGUUGUCGGGCGCGGAGCGGCCAUCACGGUCGCUGCUUGAUGCGACACCAGCUGGAACAGGAGACGCCCCCCCGCGAGAGAACGCGGCGGCCAAUCCUGUGGCGAGCCCAGGUAGCGCUGGGCCGUCGCAACGCGCGCUAAGCGGUGGGCCGAGCCCGGUAACACAGGGCAGGCUUAAGGUACGUGCUAGUCCCACGGGAAACCGUGGCUUCCCCUGAGUAGGCCCGACAAGCCGAAGCAGGGGAAGGCGCGAGGGGUCCCCCCCCCCCCCGGGGCCCCCGGGGACGGGGGGGGGAGAACCCCCCGUGCGUGUGGUUAUGCGGGAGUUCCCUCAACGAUCUCCUCCCGACCGGCGUCGGCGAGGCGGAGGGCAUGCCCCCGGUAGCCUCGGCCGCCAGACACAAUGAGGAUUGACAGAUUGGGAGCUCUUUCUUGAUUUUGUGUGUGGUGGUGCAUGGCCGUUCUUAGUUGGUGGAGUGAUUUGUCUGCUUAAUUGCGAUAACGAACGAGACCUUAACCUGCUAAAUAGCCAGCGCUGCCCAGGCAGCGCGCCGGCUUCUUAGAGGGACUAUCGGCUCAAGCCGAUGGAAGUUUGAGGCAAUAACAGGUCUGUGAUGCCCUUAGAUGUUCUGGGCCGCACGCGCGCUACACUGACGGAGCCAGCGAGUGCCCCCUUGGCCGGAAGGCCCGGGUAAUCUUGUUAACCUCCGUCG